Long non-coding RNA from Mesocricetus auratus (golden hamster), 580 nucleotides. RefSeq lists it as uncharacterized. The transcript is spliced from 4 exons. NCBI's taxonomy places the organism in Eukaryota, Metazoa, Chordata, Mammalia, Rodentia, Cricetidae. The record is from RefSeq and is a predicted model, not a curated record.
UGAGAACAUUCUCAACUGUGACCCACUAUUGGACUGGUUUGCUGAGAAAUCGAGAGCACCUUAAAGUCACUGACAAAGAAGGAAAGGACAUAUUUUGCAUGCUUGACUUGACAGUCACUGUCAGGGACUGCAUGACCCUGUACAUGUGCCAGCUGGAGAAAGAGGCUGGCAUUGAUCCUCAUUUUGGAGAUAGUUCGCCUUUGCUGAAAAGCUGCUCGUCUUCUAGACAACAAGUGGUUUGCCUCUGUGGGAACUCUGGAUUUCAUUCAGUCCACAAGAGAGGAAACUGGUAAAGAACUCAAGAGUGGGGUGCUACCUUCUGCAGAAGAACCCUGAGGCACUCCCAUUUUAAACAGAGACCCUGAUAAGAACGGCCUUGAAUUUUCAAAACAAUUGAUGGGAGAAGGAACUACAACAAUAUCAGCUAUUCUGAUAAGAAAUUAUGAGAGCUGUGACUAUCCUAGAACUCACCCUAUAGAUCAAGGUGUCCUAGAACUCACUGAAGAACUGUCACUAGGAAGACAUUACAUGAGUUUUACCAAUCUCAUAUUACUGUGAUGAGUUGAUCCCAGAAUCAGAA